ACUCCUACGGGAGGCAGCAGUGAGGAAUAUUGGUCAAUGGGUGCAAGCCUGAACCAGCCAUCCCGCGUGAAGGAUUAAGGUCCUAUGGAUUGUAAACUUCUUUUGUAUAGGGAUAAACCUACCCUCGUGAGGGUAGCUGAAGGUACUAUACGAAUAAGCACCGGCUAACUCCGUGCCAGCAGCCGCGGUAAUACGGAGGGUGCAAGCGUUAUCCGGAUUUAUUGGGUUUAAAGGGUCCGUAGGCGGACUUAUAAGUCAGUGGUGAAAUCCUGUCGCUUAACGAUAGAACUGCCAUUGAUACUGUAAGUCUUGAGUAUAUUUGAGGUAGCUGGAAUAAGUAGUGUAGCGGUGAAAUGCAUAGAUAUUACUUAGAACACCAAUUGCGAAGGCAGGUUUACCAAGAUAUAACUGACGCUGAGGGACGAAAGCGUGGGUAGCGAACAGGAUUAGAUACCCUGGUAGGAUAGCG
RNAcentral lists this ribosomal RNA (469 nucleotides) under uncultured bacterium. RNAcentral's name for it is "bacterial SSU rRNA". It matches the Rfam family "Bacterial small subunit ribosomal RNA", at positions 335 to 799 of the family's 1533-position model. The record is from RNAcentral.